GCGCCUGUAGCUCAGAUGGAUAGAGCAACGGACUUCUAAUCCGUAGGUCGCAGGUUCGAAUCCUGCCAGGCGUACCA
Molecule: transfer RNA, 77 nt
Filed under: Desulfobacter sp.
Lineage: Bacteria; Pseudomonadati; Thermodesulfobacteriota; Desulfobacteria; Desulfobacterales; Desulfobacteraceae
Also listed under: 7 other names
Description: tRNA-Arg
Rfam family: tRNA
About the family: Transfer RNA (tRNA) molecules are approximately 80 nucleotides in length. Their secondary structure includes four short double-helical elements and three loops (D, anti-codon, and T loops).
Source: RNAcentral